RNAcentral lists this non-coding RNA (112 nucleotides) under Pan troglodytes (chimpanzee). Lineage: Eukaryota; Metazoa; Chordata; Mammalia; Primates; Hominidae. The record is from RNAcentral.
UUUCUGUUCCCGGGCGGCAUCAGACCCGUCGGAGAGUAAAUCCCAAGUAAGGUACCUGCCGUCGGCAGAUUGGAGCUUUCUUCUUGGACACCUAAUACCCACAGUCCUCCAG